GCCGAGGCUACUCUCCUGUCCCCAGCCCGCCUGAGGCCGCUGUCUCUGAAAACUCCAGGCUGGUCGUGAUGAGCAGCCUCAGGGGAGGGCUGAGUGGGGACUGAUGAGAAACAGAUGGCUGGACUCAGGAGGCUCUCUUCCCCAUGGCCCUGGACGAGCACCAAGGUGGACCUGCACCCUUCUUGCUUCCAGAACCGUGGGCCGCUGGGCUCUGUAGAGAGGUCUUCCAAGGCCAGGAAGGAGGCAAGGCAACACACUUCCCUUAGCUCUCCCCAGUGCCUCCCACCCCAGGCUGAAGGUGGCAAGAAGCGGGAGGGAAAGCAAGGUCCCCAGGGGGGGUGGUGUCCUCCCAACCAGGUGGGGCAGCUGUCAGGAGAAGGAUUUGUCACUGAAAGUUGACCAAAACAAAAUAGUGGGAGAGGCUCUGCUGUGAUUCCCCAAACUGGAAGCAUCUCCUGGUCUCUCUACUGCUGGACAGUGAGCUACAGGCUUGUGUCAGGCCCAGUAGUGAGAAUGGUGGGAUAUAGCUGUUCAGCCUUAGGACGUUCUCUGAGGGCAGAGGAAGCCAGAACCCCACUCGUGUGGUUCCACUUUUGGAAGGUUCAAAGCCAGGCUGAGAGAUGGCUCUAGGCUGUGGCGAGAUGGGUGCAGGGGCUCCUGGGCACUGGCAAUGCUUUGGCAGCUGGCGCUGGUCAUGCGGCCAGUUCAGUGUGGGGAGCUCAUUGAGCCAUGCACACAGGCGUGUCUGCGUGUGUUCCCAGGGCUGCCCGCUGAGGCCCCUUUGUACCCUCUCAGUCAUGUCCUUCAGGCCCAAAUGCUUUCAAAACCCCUAUGAUGGUGUCAGGUGCUGGGGAGUGGGGUGACCAAACCAGCAGAUGCAGUGGCUUUUGGGAGGCGAACAUCUCAUGACAGGCAAUCCGGACUAUAAAUACACAUAGGUCACCUGUCUAGUGAGGGCCGCUCAGGAGGAGGGCCAGGGGGUGUGAGGCUUCUGUCCUGCACAGGGCUGGGGACAGGGCACUAUGUCUGAAGGGGUAGGGAUGUGGAUGCAGGAGGAGUGUGUAUUGGACCCAUAUCCAGCAAGGACACAGGGACCCAGUGGCUCUUGGGCAGGGGCAGCCAGGCUGUAUUUGUAGUUCCAAGAGAUGGACUGGUGGCUAUGGGUAAUGGUGGUUGAGGACAAGGCUGGGAGGCAGAAGAGUGGGCUGAAGGCCUCCAAGGGCAGGCGAGCAGUGGGAGAAUUAGGUUGUUGGCCAAGGGUGGAAAGAGGUAUGGGUGCAUCUCUGCUGACGGGCAGGUUUUUAGUUUGGGGACAGGGAAUCUUCCCUAAAAAAUGUGGGUGCCCAGAUGACUUUAUAGGUGGGCACUCCCAAACAAGAAAUUAGUCAUCCUCAUUGAUGAAGCUUCACCUGCCCAGAGCCACUUCUGAUAUGGACCUGGUAUCACCCAAUACCAGUGCCAGAAGAGAACAGAGGGAGAAAAGGAAAAAGAGAAAAUGAUGUGCCAGUCUACCUGUGGGCAUAGAUUGAAAAAUCCUGAGUAAGUACUAGACCAAAUCCAGGAGCACCUGAAAUGCAGAAUUUCAUAGCCGUAAGGAUGGGUCCUGCACACUUCCGCCUGCCAGGAGAGCAGGCACAUGUCUCUUCACAGCUCUGUCCCAGUGCUUAGGACAGUGUCUGGCACAUAGUAGGUGCUCAAUGAAUGUAUAUGGAAUAAAUGAAGUUGUAUGUAAAUAAAAGAAGAUUGUAACCCAAGGACAAAGGAAUUUUGAAAUCUGUAAAUAAAGUUCAGUAACAACAGGUGGAAAAUCACAUGAUUAUCUCAAUAGAUGUUGAAAAGUAAUACUAAUAAAUUCCAGUAUCUUUCCUUAAGAACAAAAGAAGUCGCAGCCAUAAAAAAGGAUGAGUUCAUGUCCUUUGUAGGGACAUGGAUGAAGCUGGAAACCAUCAUUCUCAGCAAACUAUCGCAAGGACAAAAAACCAGAUGCUGCAUGUUCUCACUCAUAGGUGGGAAUUGAACAAUGACAACACUUGGACAC
This 2038-nucleotide long non-coding RNA is filed under the name Homo sapiens (human). RNAcentral describes it as "HSALNT0216835". Lineage: Eukaryota; Metazoa; Chordata; Mammalia; Primates; Hominidae. The record is from RNAcentral.